This 264-nucleotide ribosomal RNA is filed under the name uncultured bacterium. RNAcentral describes it as "partial 16S ribosomal RNA". It matches the Rfam family "Bacterial small subunit ribosomal RNA", at positions 793 to 1055 of the family's 1533-position model. The record is from RNAcentral.
GUCCACGCCCUAAACGAUGUCAACUGGUUGUUGGGAAUUCACUUUCUCAGUAACGAAGCUAACGCGUGAAGUUGACCGCCUGGGGAGUACGGCCGCAAGGUUAAAACUCAAAGGAAUUGACGGGGACCCGCACAAGCGGUGGAUGAUGUGGUUUAAUUCGAUGCAACGCGAAAAACCUUACCCACCUUUGACAUGGUAAGAAUCCUUUAGAGAUAGAGGAGUGCUCGAAAGAGAACUUAUACACAGGUGCUGCAUGGCUGUCGU